Molecule: transfer RNA, 99 nt
Filed under: Schistosoma curassoni
Lineage: Eukaryota; Metazoa; Platyhelminthes; Trematoda; Strigeidida; Schistosomatidae
Rfam family: tRNA
About the family: Transfer RNA (tRNA) molecules are approximately 80 nucleotides in length.
Source: Rfam by way of RNAcentral
AUUGGAGUGGCCUAACGGUCUAAGGCGCCAGACCCAGAAGUGUUCUUCUGGGUGUUCUGGUUCACGAUAUGGGCGUUGGUUCGAAUCCCACCUUCGACN